This is a long non-coding RNA of Macrobrachium nipponense, 8017 nucleotides long. RefSeq lists it as uncharacterized. Lineage: Eukaryota; Metazoa; Arthropoda; Malacostraca; Decapoda; Palaemonidae. The record is from RefSeq and is a predicted model, not a curated record. The transcript has 3 exons.
GAAUGAUUGAUUCUAAUGCUAAGAUCUCUCAGUGUGCUUCAGCAUUUCGCUCUGUCAAGUAUUGGUAAUCGUAGUGCAACGCAUUAUCUAGCAAUAGAGAGAAGCCAGCAUCACUUAGAUUACCGAUGUAUAAGGACCAGGAGAAACAAAGCAAAAUAAAACAGAAACACAACAAUGGAGCUUCCUUCACACUGAUAAAAUGAAGCUGAUGUGCCUGGUUUUCUUGGGGCUCAUUAUUGACGCAUCAGGGUUACAGACGGCAGAAUGUAAAGACAUCCGACCAAAGUGUGAGGAGAAGAACAUGACGCAUGUUCACUGUCUGGUGAAGCGGGACGUUAAUCAAACCAUACACAAUGAAGUCAGUGGAGUUCUUGGCAUGCAAGAGCAGGCUGAGAGCUUACAGAAGUGUGGAAGUGAUUGGUGGCCAUACUCACAAAUUGUGUGCAUUAUAGAAGGAACAAAGUGUUUUAACGAGCACAUUAUAGAGAAGACUCAUUCUCAGUCCCACAAGUUAAAAGAGAUAAAGGUUUGUACCGUCUUUCAGCAUUUCAUUAAACUCGAUCUGUUGUGUAUGCAGUCGGAGCAUCCAGAGCAAAAUGAACACUUUUCUGAGAUGCUUCAGAAGUUUAACAUCUCUUAUCCAUCUUCGGGAGUUUCAGAUGCAUAUUUAGUGUCUGGUCAUGUCCAUCAAAGUAAGGAUACUGAAAAAAGAAUAAACCUUACAUUGUUGCUUUCAGUUGGAUUAGUAUUGACAUUCGUUAUUAUUGUAGUACAAUCGGUCAUUAUUUGCUAUCUUUGUCAUAGAGGGCGAAAAAUUUAUCAAACUGUUGUACCUUCUGAAAGCCUUCCACAUUAGAACUGAUUGUUGGAUUCUAAGCUUUACAAGUCAGCUUAUUCCUGAUGAACAAUCGAGAAACAGGAAAAUUGUGUCGCAUUCCAAGGUUUUCACAACAUUGGAGAAGUACUUUUCAAAAGUCCAAAUAUGAUUAGAAGUUAUACGUAAAAGAAUUAAACACCGAAUUGGUUAUUUCUUCUUACUAUCUACUGGUACCGGUUCUUCUCAUUUAUUUUUACUCCAGUUAAUAAACUUUUAAAUCAGUGCUGUCAGGUAGUAAGUUGAAUAAAUGUAUUUGUAUGGUGUAAUGUAUUUUGAAAACUAAAUUCAAAUUAUUCAUAAACUGUAGUAUAUGCAUUAUUUGAAAACUAAAUUCAAAUUAUUCAUAAACUGUAGUAUAUACAUAUGUAUAGUAAUGCAUAAUUUAUUGGGGAGUUAUUAAUGUUAAACCCAAAAGAAUACUGAUGCUAUGCUUAAGGGUAUUGUUUUUCUGCAUCAUGGUGCAAGUAUGACUUAAGAAGAGAGGAGAGUGGUAAAUUUAAGCAGCUUGUAUUUUGGAGACUCCAAAGAUUCUAUAUUGAUAAUUCACAAUAAAUCGAUGCUUUGGAUAAGUUCUUAUGUUAUGUAUGGUACUAGAAUGACGCACACUGAAUUUAAGCAACCUGCAUUGUUUACAUAAACUGAUCAUUUGAGGAAAAUAACAUGUGGUUAGUGCUCACAAUAAAAUACUGAACCAAAUCAGAUUUGAAAAUUUUACACAGCUUGAAAAGGAAAGAUUAAUCAUUAAGAUUUUGCAGCAAAACUCCCAUUUUAAUUAGUGUUACUUACCCAGUAAUUAUAUAGCUGUAGUUUCUACCUCGACAGCAGCUUGAAUUUCUAAAAUCGCAGUUAUACUUCCUCCGCUGGCCGGUAGGUGAAUAGGCUCCACCCACUUUUUGGGGGUUAGAGGAAUAACUACAAGAAAAUACGUCCCUCAAUUUGUUUCUGCCAUCCUAAUACCAACACGGUUUGCUCCGUGUCACCUAACUUUCUCGCUAAGAACAAGAAUCCUUCUAAUCCUUGGCCACACUCUUUUGUUCUCAAGAACUUGAUGGAUAUACUAGGCCAGGAGGAAGAAGAAAGACUUUUUAUGUCCUGUGGGGGCACUAAGAUGUUACCUCCGCAGAAAGGAGAAAAUAAGAAGACAUUCUUCCUGUUUGUGGUGCUCUGUUAAAAAUCCCUCUCAUCCACUUUCAAAAAAUGCAAUCUCCUUCUCAAGCUAACGAUGUGGAUUUCCCUUAAUGAGAGUCAAAGCGCACAAAAUCCAAGUGGUAGAGACUUCCCUUGCGUUCCGUCACAACUUGUCACUUUCCACUACCCUUGUAAAUACCCUUUGUAGGUCCAAAUAAGUUUUUGUUGUACAUUACUUAAAAUAAAUUGAAACAGUUUUUGAUGACUGUAAUUCUCUCGGUCCUCGUUUGGUAGCUGGCAUGGUGUUAGGAGAAACGACAUGGGGGUUGGUCCCUCUGUUUUAUUCGCCUUGUAUCAAGGUUGGUGAGUCAAGUGAAGUCUGGGGGUACGAUGUACCUGGAGUACUCACCAGUUCAUGGUUUCUAAGUGUGGUGGGUAAAUGUUUUCAUUUAGUGUAGGCGACAGAUUUUAGUUCGCUGUUUUCUUAUAUGUUAUUUCUGGUCUUUGCCCAGUGAACUGAGUCAGCGGUGAACUGCCAUGACUACAAAGGUAUCCCACUUCAUGUACAGCCACUCACUGGCCAUACACCCAAGCCUUCUACUACAUAAGAUGAGCACCAACCAGAGGCAGUAUUCUCCUGCAGUAGCUCUCUUACAAGGUAAGGCACAACAAGCACUAACAGCACUAACUUUUGUCUUUUUUUUAAGAAUCCUGUUAUAUUUUUUAAUUAAGCAUACAUCCACAGCCCCCCAUCCUUGCAAUGAGUAAUCAGCUGUAUAAUUAUUUGGUAGACACUGCAAUAAAAAUGUAAUUUUUAUUAUAAAAUGACAUUUUAUUGCAUACUUACCAAACAAUUACAUAUUGAUUAAAACCCUCCCUCCUCCCCACAGGUGGUUGGUUGGGCAGAACGAAUUGAUUACACCUGGUCUGUUGUACCUGUUCCUCCCUUGAGUUAGGGGGAGAUUCUUUCACCCACGUUAGCGAUGGCAGCACCACCGCGAAGUUUGAAUUUUGGUCUGCCGCAUAGGAACCUACACUUGUAUGAUUGUUUGGUAAGUAUGCAAUCAAAUUUCAUUAUAAAAAUUACAUUUUUAUCAUACGAUAUCAAUUAAUCUUAGUUAAUCUUGCAGUAUUAAUAUUAAUAUUUGAAAAUUAGUAAAAAAUUUUUGUAUCAUAAGAAUGUAUUUAGUCAUGAAAAUAACAUCAAAAUACACUAAUUAAUGAAUAUUUAUCACCAGAAGAACCUGUGAUUAGGCAAAUUUCCUGUGAAUAAUGGGUAGAUAUGGUCCAAAGAAAAGUCCUUGAAUAGGUGAGAACACGAAUACGGAGGUUGACAGUAAGCAAAUGUAAGCGUUUUUGUGGGGUUCUACAUAUUCGUGGAUUCUAGUUUUGGGUGGGGGAGUCUGGAAUGCAUCCCUGCGAGUAUGAGGAAUCCACUGUACCCUCACAGGACCAAGAAGAUCAGGGGACCAAUGAGCAACUUAUGGUGCUCAGUCAAGAAUCCUUCAAGGCCUUUAUCGAAUAUUGUUUUUCUAACUUGAAGCUGAAGGCUCAUGAGGUGAGAGCAGUGGCAACCUCAUUAGCCUUCAAACAUAAGCUGUCUCUGGUCUCUAUCUUGCAAACAACUUAAUGGAGAUGUAAGUCUAUUUUUGCAAUGCAUUAUCUUAAAGAGAUCUUAACUACUUAUGAUGAUUGUGGAACUCUGGGACACUUGUUUUGGCUGGAUCACAAGCUUAAAAAACAAGUGGCAAAUCAUCGCCCCCCCCCCACAUUAACCUAAUCAUUCCAGCUGCCAAACUCACCCUCAGUCACACUUUCCUCUUUACACUACAGAAUACAAGCAGGACAAUUGACCUACACCUACACAUAGAAAAAAAACAAACACAUGUACUUACCAACCACUCCAGAUACACCGGGCUAUGCUGUGCUGUCCGCUGGUCAAGGUCACUGAGACACCAACAACAACAACAACCAAGAAGCACAACACCACAACCCAACAAGACAACUGCCAAGGACCCCAACCCCACAAAUCAACAGCACAACACCCAAGGAACACAACCACAACUCAACACCACAGCAAACAACAAGGAACUCAACAACACAACAACAAACAAAGAACACAACCACAACAAAAGACCACUGCACAAACAAUCACUAAAAAAAACUCACAAAAAGGCAACACAUACACCCACUAACAACACCAAGGAAUCACAAAAACAACACAAAAAAGCAACACACACACCCACUAACAUUACCAACAACAACCCUCAACCAUAACAACUCGCAUAUAAUCCAACAGAAACUCACAUGCAACUCAACAAAACCUCAUAGCACAACAACUCUUAAGCAACCAACAUCAAACCCAACAACAAUCUGCAACAAACCAAUAACACACUACUUGAAUAACUUCAAUGCCCUCAACACUUUCCACAGACCGCUGCCAACACUACUGUCUAUCACCAGCUCUCACCAAAGACUGACCAAAAGACUGACUAAAAACACAGAACUCUAAACUCCAACAUCACCAGCAGACAACCCAGAACUCACCAACAGCCAAUUCAGCCAUUAACCAUCCAAUCACCAACUACCCUCUCUCUCUCUCUCUCUCUCACACAGAUGUCAAAUGGAACUCCAUAACUCCUCCAUAUUGUCAGUAGCAGGUACAAUUGUAGGGGAGGAAGUGUGAAGACAUAUGAUCAACCAAAGCAUACCCUAGAAACUUUGUUUUAUAUUGGCAUGCUUUACUUUUUAUUUUAUUUAAGGCAAUGAAAAUUUAUUUGGUAAAUAGGCAUUAUAUUUGGAUAUUAAUGUAAUUAUGCUUAGCCUCGCGCAGGGCUAGGUUUUUAACCUUUGUUAUUUGGUUGUGUUGUUUGUGGUUUAAUUGGUAGCAACCUCCUCAGCUGGGAAGUUUCUGUGUUGGUCAAGGUGUCUCACAGCUACACCAGUGCACCACUAUGCGUUGAGAAGAGCCCUCAUUAGAGGCAGUACCUCCUUGAAGCGGCUCUCUCCCCAGGUAAGGAACAAUUGAAGUUUAGUGAGGCUCUCAUGAAAAUAGGUAUUUUAUAUUUAUAUUUUUAGGAAGUUUAUGAAUCCCCACCACCUAUCAAUGUGGGAUUCAGCUAUAUAAUUAUGUACUGAGUAAGUUGCACUAAUAAAAAUUAUAUUUUUAUAAUAAAAUAAAGUUUUAUUAGUACUUACCCAGUAAUUAUGAAUAGAGCCCACCCUCCUCCCCUCACAUGGACAGUUUUUCUUUACUAGAGGGGAAACAAAUUGAGGUAUUUUCAUGUAGUUACUCUUCCCCCCAGAAAGUGGGGGAGUGUAUUCACCUAACUGCCAGCAGAGUAAGUAUAACAGCGAUUUUGGAAAUUCAAACUGCUGUCGAAGUAGAAACUACAGCUAUAUAUUUACUGGGUAUGUACUAAUAAACUUUAUUUUAUUAUAAAAAUGUCAUUUUUUCCCAAGUGAUAAGAUUAUUUAAGUAAAUGUUACAUACUUGGAUUUGAAUAUUGUCAUGUCCAAUUUCAAGGGAGUUCAUGAUCAUGAAUCUGUAAUAUCUUUAACUGAUUCUCAUCAGUGUUCAUUUUUAGCUUUAGUUUAGUGUCUCCAUGUCACGAAAUAACAUUCCACUUGUUUAAUUAAGUGUUUCGAUUUUUGUAAUGAAUGGAAAAUUGCAUUGCUUAAAUUCAAAUUCAAGCUAGUCUGGAAAGUAACAUUUUGGUCUAGUUUGAAGUUCUUAAGAAAUCAUUAUUUAUAUGCAGAACAAACCUUGGUCCAAACUUUAGGAUAAAUCUUGUAGUGCCAGCUGGAAACCGAAAUUAGGCUCUCUCCAACUUCACUGAAAGACGGUACUUCUCCACUAGUGGACGAUAGACAAAUCAGUAAACCUCUCAGCCAGGUAUAUCCCAGGCAAGAGGAAUUUGAUGGCUCACAAAGUGAGUCGUCAGGGUCUUGGGACAGAGUGGUCCUUACAUGAUUUUUGUCUUCCUUUAACCUGUUAUUCUUAGGUAGACUAUUGUUGCAACACUUAUUACUUUAGCCAUUGUACUUGCUUAAUAUGCACCCUAGUAUUUAAAAAACUUUGCAAGAGAUUGAAUCAUGUUGUUUUCACUCAUGCAUUUACACUGUACGACAUGAUGACACUUAAGUGGCAUAAGUGAGAUUGAUGGUCUUACUUGAAUCUGGUAAACUUAUUUAUGUGGAGAUAGCAGAAGGCUUUUCCAUCUUUGGGAAAGACCAAAUGAUAGAUCUGUUUGCAACAAAGUUCAACCGAAAGGUGGAGGUCUUCUGUUCAGUUAUCCCAGGCUCCUGCUAUGGCAGAGGACACCCUUCAACAUCCCUGGGACAGUCGAAGUUUAUGCUUUCCCUCCCUUUUGCCCGAUUCAUCAAGUUUGGAAUGUUGUAAUGUCUUCUUGGAAUCUCAGAAUGUCCCUUGUAGCUCCAUGGUUGCCUCAUGCAGAAUGGUAUCCUAAUCUGCAAACCCUUCAGUAUGUUUUUUACCAGUUUCCAGUUGGCACUAGAAGAUUUAUCCUAAAAUUGAGACUGAAGGUGUUAGCUAUGAAAAUUACAAAUUAAUAAAAAAAAUUGUCAUUUUUUCAAACCUGUUAUAUUUCAAACCUACCUAGAGAAAAACCUUAUUCAUAGAAACUUUUUUUUUAAGACAAUUCAUGCUGUGUGAUACCCGUGGACUUGAAUAAUCUGAAUAAAUGAGAUCUUUUGUACAUAAAAAAAAGUAUUUAUGUGCCUGAUGUCUAUGCUAUCAUUAGAUAAUGUUUGUCUUUCUUUAACCUUUUAUUCAUAGGUAGUCUAUUGUUCCAAUACUUUGUACCUUAGCCAUUGUACUUGCUUAAUAUGCAUCCUAGUAUUUAAAAAACUGUGCAAGGAUUGAAUCAUGUUGUUUCCACUCAUGCAUUUACACUGUACGACAUGAUGACAUUGAAGUGGCAUGAGUGAUAUUGGUGGUCUCACUUGAAUCUGGUAAACUUAUUCAUGUGGUGUUUUUGUGAUCAGAUCACAGUUUCUAUCAAUUAGAUUACUUUUAUGUGAUUCAUUCCAGUUGAUCAUUUAAUUUAUAUUCAGCAUUUGUAUGGAUGCUUGACUACAUAAUACGAUAUUUCAACCACUGCCUUUUUCUAAACACCACAUGGUGAUCAGUUUACUGGUGAGCCAUCAUUACUGUUGACGACAGUUGAUAAGUGGUCACUAGUGUGCUAAAAUGCUGAUCAAUUCAAAUUAAAUUUAGUCAUAUUCAGAACUAAUUGCAAUAUUUCUAAUGACAUGCAAAUCAUGGUUCCUUUGUGUUAUCUUCAUUUCCUUCUACAGAUGCUAUCAGAUUGCCUUUAGCAUUUGCUAAAAUGGCUCCCAAUGUAGCGUGUGUACUGUUAAAGAGCCGGCUAAUUUAGCUUUUUGAAAAUCAGUAAGGCUCAGUUUUUGGUAUCCAAUUACUGACCAAUUCCUUUGAUAACUUGCCCAUACAAAAUAAUGGAAAAGAUGGUCAAUAUAGGACUUGCUUGACAGUGGAUGGUCUAUCCACCUCUUUUGCAGCAUCUUGGAUAGUGAAAGUUGAGCAUAAAAAUUAUCAUGUCAUUGACCAAAUUGUAAAGUUAGCAGGUAUGAAUGUGUUCUAUUUCUCAUGUAGUAAAACUUAAGUUUUUCAUUCUUGUUGUCUUCAUGAGGUACAUUGGUUCAGAUAUAUAUACCUGAAGUGACAAAUUCUUUCAAGGUGUAGAGGUCCUCUCUCUGGAAAUAAAUUUUGAUCCCAGUUUAUUGGGCCCUCAUCUAAGUAGGUGAAAGCCAAAUGUUUGGUGGCCAUGAAUAUUUUCAAGGCUUUAUCUCAAUCAUCAGUUAAUCAAACUCUGCUGAAAUUAUUCAAAGCCUUGCAGGAGAGAGACACUCUGGGUCUUGAAAUGAGCAAAUUUUCCCCUUGAAAAGCAAUGGGAAUUGGAUUAAACCAUUCCAAACCUCCAAGAAUACAGUGAAUAAAAGCAUUUUAACUCCUAAUUUAAUAAAUGUAGC